RNAcentral lists this ribosomal RNA (100 nucleotides) under Salmonella enterica subsp. enterica serovar Enteritidis. Lineage: Bacteria; Pseudomonadati; Pseudomonadota; Gammaproteobacteria; Enterobacterales; Enterobacteriaceae. The record is from RNAcentral.
GUGGGGUCCCACCUGACCCCAUGCCGAACUCAGAAGUGAAACGCCGUAGCGCCGAUGGUAGUGUGGGGUCUCCCCAUGCGAGAGUAGGGAACUGCCAGGC